GCAUAAAUUAAAACCAUUAUAUACAUAUCCAAUCUCCAAAGGUUCUUUACAAUUCAGUCCAAGGCACUACAGGCCUGACAACAAAAUUACACUAUUACAUCAAAAAUCACAUUGUGGCACCGCCACCGGACACCUACUAACAAAAGUUCCUUGAUCAGUCCCGGGCGUCAGCCACCUGCCACAAUUGUCCAGCUGCCCACUCUCAAGAAUCGAAGGAUAUCACUCUACACAAGGAAUAAAAUAAGAUGAAUGAGUUAAAAAGCCCAGUAAGUAUAUCAGUGCCCAUGCAUUCCCACCUUAAAUACACACUUAUAAGAUAAUGUGGUCUGCAUAUCAUCACAGAAUAAAGUCAUGCAUCACAAAUCAUUAGCAGUGUAAAAUAGAGUAUGAUUCAGAUUCCAAGGAAGUGCAUAUGUAUGAGCAAACAGUUAUUUCACCUCUUAUCAUAGUAACAUGUCAGUACCCAGAAAGAACACACAAAGCACACAAGUAAAGUCUAGAGUUAUCUACUCCCGAAGUAGAAGUCGCAUCGAUCAGGCCAAGUCAAUCCUGAACUUUAAACUUUUACUCUAAUUCAGGAGGGAGGACAAUGAAAAAUGGAGCUCUCAUUUCGUAAUGUCCUUACUCAUAUACACAAUCCCCAGCGUACUUUGGGGUUUUCGAUAAGCGGUAGCCUUGCAAGAUAUUACCCUAUCCUUAUACUUUCAGGCGAGAGGGCGUUACACUACCAUUGGAAGACCCAAUGCAUAGUGCCCAGAAUAAUAAGAGGGGGACGCGACCCUCCCAAUAAUUUACAGUUACCUGCUGACUCCAUUCCUAUCAUUAGAGUCGAGGCACAGGCUAUCCAAUUACCAAUGGAGGAUCCAUUGCGUAGUGGUUAUAUCACAUAUAUCAGUCUCAAUAUAACAGAAUCACAAUAUCCAACUACUAAUGGAUGACCCAUUGCGUAGUGGUCAGUAUCACAUAUAUCAACCUCAAUAAAAUAGAAUCACAAUAUCCAACUACUAAUGGAGGACUCAUUGGUAGUGGUCAGUAUCAUAUAUAGAUAACAGAAUUAGAGCAUCCGACUACCAAUGGAGGACCCAUUACAUAGUGGUCAGUAUCACAUAUAGAUAACCGAAUUACAGUAUCCAACUACCAAUGGAGGAUCCAUUGCGUAGUAGUCAGUAUUGCAUGUAGAUAACAGAAUUACAGUAUCCAACUACCAAUGGAGGACCCAUUGCAUAGUGGUCAGUAUCACAUAUAGAUAACAGAAUUACAGUAUAUUACAUUUAGUUACACUUCAUAUAUGCAUGCUCAAGAGUUCAUUUGCUCAUGCUUUACCAUUCAAGAGUUUAAGAACAUUCAUAGUAUCAUAAGCAAGCAUUUUCAAUAUCUCAUGACAGAUAAGUUCAAUCUCCUUAUGAAGGGAUUUAACUAUUUUCAGAAACAUCAGUAUAUAAUAUUUGCAUAGUUCAUAAUAACAGUUUGGGAUUUACUGUCAUACUCAUUAUGAUAUAUGCAUAUACUAAAUGAGACAUGCCAUUUAAUUCAUGAGGGAUUUCAACUCAGUUUCAAUCUUCACUUGAAAUAGAUAUGUAUAUAUUUUGUUCAAAGAGAAUUUGAAGCUAUUUGUGCAUCAUUUGAUCAGUUAAAAGCCCAACAGAACAAGAGCAACAACUUCUGGAAUUUGCAGUAAUCUAUGACAGUGAGAUCUUACACCAAUAGAAGCAUAACUCUCGAAUUUGAGGGAAUUCUGGGGUAGUUUCAAAACCAAAGUUCAAGAAUACAUAUCUUUCCAACAAAUGUGAUUUGAAAGCAUUUGGGCUCCAAUUACUGAAUCAAAAGCUUAUAGCAACAUAAGAGAAUCUAUGAAUUCUACUAACAGUGACAUAUCCCUAUUAUUAGUGGCAUAAUUUUCAAUCUAGAAGGUAUUUUGAAAUGAUUUCAACAUAAAACUUUAAGUAAACGCACAGAUCUUUCAAGUGGCAGUGGUUUGAAAGUAAUUAGACUCCAUUUGGUCAUUUAAAAGCUCAAGACAACAAAAGCAAACAGUUAUGAAAUUCAGUGAAAUCUGUUAACAAUGAUAUGCUUGCACAAUUUGAAGCAUAGCACCUCAUUUAUAGAGAAUUUGAGCAAAGUUUAAACAUGAAAAUCAUAGUAGACACAUGGAUCUAUCUAAUGGAGGUGAUUUGGUGUUAUUUGGAUAUCAUUUGAUAGGUCAACAUAGUGCUACAAGAACAUGCAACUUCCCUGGAAUUUCACAGUGUAAGCAUGACAUCUCUCAAGUAACAAUCAAUUACUCCCAAUUUAGGUUAGACAUUAAUAUGAAACAUUUUUCAUAUUGAAUUAGACUCACAUGAAUACCAAUUCACAUAUUUUCAUGAUUAACAAUAGUAAUUUCAAUGCACAUCUUGUCUUGCACAGAAGACUUAAUUUUUGGAAAACAAUGCACCACGAUCUACACAUGCAAUCAUUGGUCCCCAAAAUUCAUACAAGUUCAUGCUUAGUUUUCAUACUCCCACAACUAAAAACAUGCAAGGUUUUUGAUCCACUUACCUUGUGUGUGCAAUGGUGUUAUCAAAACCCUUCACACAUUCACUCCAAGUCUUCCCACAAAGCUCAAAGGGGGAUGGAGUUUGGUGCUCCAAGAGAG
This 2635-nucleotide long non-coding RNA is filed under the name Amborella trichopoda. Its description in RNAcentral is "long non-coding RNA (ATRI_LNC002997)". The record is from RNAcentral. Lineage: Eukaryota; Viridiplantae; Streptophyta; Magnoliopsida; Amborellales; Amborellaceae.